This 701-nucleotide ribosomal RNA is filed under the name uncultured bacterium. RNAcentral's name for it is "bacterial SSU rRNA". It matches the Rfam family "Bacterial small subunit ribosomal RNA", at positions 75 to 773 of the family's 1533-position model. The record is from RNAcentral.
GGUCUUCGGACGCUGACGAGUGGUGAACGGGUGAGUAAUACAUCGGAACGUGCCCAGUCGUGGGGGAUAACUACUCGAAAGAGUAGCUAAUACCGCAUACGAUCUGAGGAUGAAAGCGGGGGACCUUCGGGCCUCGCGCGAUUGGAGCGGCCGAUGGCAGAUUAGGUAGUUGGUGGGAUAAAAGCUUACCAAGCCGACGAUCUGUAGCUGGUCUGAGAGGACGACCAGCCACACUGGGACUGAGACACGGCCCAGACUCCUACGGGAGGCAGCAGUGGGGAAUUUUGGACAAUGGGCGAAAGCCUGAUCCAGCAAUGCCGCGUGCAGGAUGAAGGCCUUCGGGUUGUAAACUGCUUUUGUACGGAACGAAAAAGCUCCUUCUAAUACAGGGGGCCCAUGACGGUACCGUAAGAAUAAGCACCGGCUAACUACGUGCCAGCAGCCGCGGUAAUACGUAGGGUGCGAGCGUUAAUCGGAAUUACUGGGCGUAAAGCGUGCGCAGGCGGUUAUGUAAGACAGAUGUGAAAUCCCCGGGCUCAACCUGGGAACUGCAUUUGUGACUGCAUGGCUAGAGUACGGUAGAGGGGGAUGGAAUUCCGCGUGUAGCAGUGAAAUGCGUAGAUAUGCGGAGGAACACCGAUGGCGAAGGCAAUCCCCUGGACCUGUACUGACGCUCAUGCACGAAAGCGUGGGGAGCAAAC